RNAcentral lists this ribosomal RNA (1406 nucleotides) under human oral metagenome. RNAcentral describes it as "bacterial LSU rRNA". It matches the Rfam family "Bacterial large subunit ribosomal RNA", at positions 1163 to 2554 of the family's 2925-position model. The record is from RNAcentral.
GCGGAAAAUAUAACGGGGCUAAAAUGAGUACCGAAGCUUUAGACUUAGUUUUACUAAGUGGUAGGAGAGCGUUGUAUUUGCGUUGAAGGUAUACCGGUAAGGAGUGCUGGAGCGAAUACAAGUGAGCAUGCAGGCAUGAGUAGCGAUAAUUGGGGUGAGAAUCCCCAACGCCGUAAACCCAAGGUUUCCUACGCGAUGCUCGUCAUCGUAGGGUUAGCCGGGUCCUAAGCAAAGUCCGAAAGGGGUAUGCGAUGGAAAAUUGGUUAAUAUUCCAAUGCCAACUAUAAUGUGCGAUGGAAGGACGCUUAGAGUUAAGCAAGCUAGCGGAUGGUAGUGCUAGUCGAAAGGUGUAGGUUAAGAUCCAGGCAAAUCCGGAUCUUUUUAAGCCGAGACCCCACAGGCGUUUGAAGUUCUUCGGAAUGGAUAGCGAAUUGCUGAUACUGUCGAGCCAAGAAAAGUUUCUAAGUUUAGUUAUAGUUGCCCGUACCGUAAACCGACACAGGUGGGUGGGAUGAGUAUUCUAAGGCGCGUGGAAGAACUCUCUUCAAGGAACUCUGCAAAAUAGCACCGUAUCUUCGGUAUAAGGUGUGCCUAACUUUGUGAAGGAUUUACUCCGUAAGCAUUGAAGGUUACAACAAAGAGUCCCUCCCGACUGUUUACCAAAAACACAGCACUCUGCUAACUCGUAAGAGGAUGUAUAGGGUGUGACGCCUGCCCGGUGCUCGAAGGUUAAUUGAUGACGUUAGCUCUGCGAAGCGUUUGAUCGAAGCCCGAGUAAACGGCGGCCGUAACUAUAACGGUCCUAAGGUAGCGAAAUUCCUUGUCGAUUAAAUAUCGACCUGCAUGAAUGGCGUAACGAGAUGGGAGCUGUCUCGAAGAGGGAUCCAGUGAAAUUGUAGUGGAGGUGAAAAUUCCUCCUACCCGCGGCAAGACGGAAAGACCCCGUGGACCUUUACUACAGCUUGACACUGCUAUUGGGAUAAAAAUGUGCAGGAUAGGUGGGAGGCUUUGAUCCAUAGACGCCAGUUUAUGGUGAGCCAUUGUUGAGAUACCACUCUUUUUUAUUCUGAUAGCUAACUAGCUUGAGUUAUCCUCAAGUAGGACAAUGUCUGGUGGGUAGUUUGACUGGGGCGGUCGCCUCCCAAAAUGUAACGGAGGCUUACAAAGGUUGGCUCAGAACGGUUGGAAAUCGUUCGCAGAGUAUAAAGGCAAAAGCCAGCUUAACUGCGAGACAUACACGUCAAGCAGGGACGAAAGUCGGUCUUAGUGAUCCGGUGGUUCUGUAUGGAAGGGCCAUCGCUCAAAGGAUAAAAGGUACCCCGGGGAUAACAGGCUGAUCUCCCCCAAGAGCUCACAUCGACGGGGAGGUUUGGCACCUCGAUGUCGGCUCAUCGCAUCCUGGGGCU